CACGUAGGGCGCAAGCGUUGUCCGGAAUUAUUGGGCGUAAAGGGCGCGUAGGCGGUUGGAUAAGUCUUGUGUGAAAUCUUCGGGCUCAACUCGAAGUCUGCACGAGAAACUAUCUGGCUUGAGUGUGGGAGAGGUGAGUGGAAUUCCUGGUGUAGCGGUGAAAUGCGUAGAUAUCAGGAGGAACACCUGUGGCGAAAGCGGCUCACUGGACCACAACUGACGCUGAGGCGCGAAAGCUAGGGGAGCAAACAGG
This 253-nucleotide ribosomal RNA is filed under the name uncultured bacterium. RNAcentral describes it as "partial 16S ribosomal RNA". It matches the Rfam family "Bacterial small subunit ribosomal RNA", at positions 524 to 776 of the family's 1533-position model. The record is from RNAcentral.